GACACGCUGGCGGCGUGCCUAACACAUGCAAGUCGAGCGGGGUUGAGGCGAGAGGUAACUCGAGCUUCUACCUAGCGGCGGACGGGUGAGUAACGCGUGGGCAACCUGCCUCAAGGUUUGGGAUAACAGCCCGAAAGGGCUGCUAAUACCGGAUAUGCCUAUGGCCUCGCAUGGGGCUAUGAGCAAAGGGGAAACCCGCCUUGAGAUGGGCCCGCGUCCCAUCAGCUAGUUGGUGAGGUAACAGCUCACCAAGGCGACGACGGGUAGCCGGCCUGAGAGGGUGACCGGCCACACUGGGACUGAGACACGGUCCAGACUCCUACGGGAGGCAGCAGUGGGGAAUUUUGCGCAAUGGGCGAAAGCCUGACGCAGCGACGCCGCGUGGGUGAUGAAGGCCCUCGGGUUGUAAAGCCCUGUGGGGAGGGAUGAAUAAGGUAUGGCUAAUACCUAUACUGAUGACAGUACCUCCUUAGCAAGCACCGGCUAACUCUGUG
This 494-nucleotide ribosomal RNA is filed under the name uncultured bacterium. Its description in RNAcentral is "bacterial SSU rRNA". It matches the Rfam family "Bacterial small subunit ribosomal RNA", at positions 33 to 507 of the family's 1533-position model. The record is from RNAcentral.